This 637-nucleotide ribosomal RNA is filed under the name uncultured Actinomycetes bacterium. RNAcentral describes it as "bacterial SSU rRNA". It matches the Rfam family "Bacterial small subunit ribosomal RNA", at positions 228 to 875 of the family's 1533-position model. The record is from RNAcentral. Lineage: Bacteria; Bacillati; Actinomycetota; Actinomycetes.
GAUUCGCGGCCUAUCAGCUUGUUGGUGAGGUAAUGGCUCACCAAGGCGUCGACGGGUAGCCGGCCUGAGAGGGUGACCGGCCACACUGGGACUGAGACACGGCCCAGACUCCUACGGGAGGCAGCAGUGGGGAAUAUUGCACAAUGGGCGAAAGCCUGAUGCAGCAACGCCGCGUGAGGGACGACGGCCUUCGGGUUGUAAACCUCUUUUAGCAAGGAAGAAGCGAAAGUGACGGUACUUGCAGAAAAAGCGCCGGCUAACUACGUGCCAGCAGCCGCGGUAAUACGUAGGGCGCAAGCGUUAUCCGGAAUUAUUGGGCGUAAAGAGCUCGUAGGCGGUUUGUCGCGUCUGCUGUGAAAACCCGAGGCUCAACCUCGGGCCUGCAGUGGGUACGGGCAGACUAGAGUGCGGUAGGGGAGAUUGGAACUCCUGGUGUAGCGGUGGAAUGCGCAGAUAUCAGGAAGAACACCGAUGGCGAAGGCAGAUCUCUGGGCCGUAACUGACGCUGAGGAGCGAAAGGGUGGGGAGCAAACAGGCUUAGAUACCCUGGUAGUCCACCCCGUAAACGUUGGGAACUAGUUGUGGGGUCCAUUCCACGGAUUCCGUGACGCAGCUAACGCAUUAAGUUCCCCGCCUG